Molecule: long non-coding RNA, 648 nt
Organism: Triticum aestivum (bread wheat)
Lineage: Eukaryota; Viridiplantae; Streptophyta; Magnoliopsida; Poales; Poaceae
Exons: 3
Source: RefSeq, a predicted model, not a curated record
CUCUGUGCCCUCUCACUUCCCCGGCCUCUUUCUCUUCCCGCGUUCUCGAUCUGGCGCCACCACACAUCGUGAUUCUAGAUCGGGCUGCAUCUCUCACUGCCAAAAGAGAGCAUGGCUGGUGUGGUCUUCAUGAAGAGGAGCAAGGGAGGAUGAGUAGGACGGGCAUGGGAAGGAGCAGCCAGGCCAGAGCUCCGGCGUCGCUCGCGUCAUGGUGGAAUGGAGCCGACCAUCACUAUGGGCUGCUGCUCGUGGGUCGUCGUUCCCCAAUCUCUGUUGCACAUCUUUGGCUUCACCUGUUUUCUUCUGCCUCUUGUCCCCCCCCCCCGGUUCUCGAUCUGGAUUUGGAUUUCUUGUUUGUGGGUGUAAUCUUUGGCUGCACAAGAUGUUGUUGAGAUUAUUGAUCGGUAUGAUCAUGCAUGUGUCCCACCUAACAUGACUGAUAAUAAGCUUGCGUACAUCCAGAAUGAGGCUAUAUCCAAAGAGUGCACAAGGACUCUCACGGUUACAAAGGAUACGAAGCAGCCAAUUUAUGCCUACUACCAACUUGACAACUUUUAUCAGAAUCAUAGGAGGUAUAGUCUUAUUUGAUGUUUUCAGUCAAUAACUUCUGGAGCAACUUAUUUGAUGUUUUCAGUCAAUAAAAUGGGA